AAGUAAUUUAUUUAUUUAAGGUUUUAGUAUUAAUUAAAAAUUAAUUUAUAGAUUUAUAGUUUAAUAGUAUUGUGAAAGAAUUAAUUAAUUUUAUAAAAGAAUUUUUUUUAGUACCUUUUGUAUCAGGGUUGAUUAAAAUUUUUAAUUUUUUUUUAAUUUCUCAAAUUUAUAGAGUUAAUUUUAUUAUUAAUUUAUUGUGUUAUAAAUAUUUAUAAAAUAAUAUUAGUUUUGAAAUUUAAUUCGUUAUAUUAUAUUUAGUUAUUUAAGAUUUAAAUUUAAUUUAAAAUUUUAAAAGUUAUAUUGAUUUUGUUGAUUUAUAUUUUAAAUUUAAAUUAUUUUAAGGAUAAGCUUGAAAUUUUAAUAUAAUAAUUUAUUUAUGUUAAUAAUUUAUAGGAAUAGAAAUUUUUAUUUUAAGUUUGUAAAAAUUUAUUAUUUAUUUAGUUUUAAUUUAUUAUAAUUUUAUUUAUUUUUUUUAUUAAAUUUUAUUAAUUAAUAUUUUAUUAAUAGUAAUAAUGAUUAAAUUAGUAUAAUUAAUAUUUAUAAAUUAUGAAUUCGGCAAAAAUUAUUUUCAUCUGUUUAACAAAAACAUUGUAUUAAGUUUAAUUUAAUAUAGGAUCUGCUCAAUGAUUUAUUAAAUAGCUGCAGUAUUUUGACUGUGCAAAGGUAGCAUAAUAAUUAGUCUUUUAAUUGGGGACUUGUAUGAAAGAUUUGAUGAGAAAUAAACUUUAUUAUUUAUAUAAUUAAAAUUUUAUUUUUAAGUAAAAAAGCUUAAAUUUUUUAAAGGGACGAUAAGACCCUAUAAAACUUUAUAAAUGAUAUAAUUGAUUUUUUUGGAUUUAUAAAUAUUUUAUUUUUAUUUUUUAUUUUAUUGGGGUGAUAAAAAAAAUUAAUUAACUUUUUUUAAAUUUUAACAUUAUUUAAUGAUUAUUUGAAUUAAAAUUUUUAAUUAAAGGAAAAAGUUACUUUAGGGAUAACAGCGUAAUUAGUUUUUUAAGUUCAAAUUUAAAAAUUAGUUUGCGACCUCGAUGUUGAAUUAAGAUUAAUCUUAGGUGCAAAAUUUUAAGUAUUAGGUCUGUUCGACCUUUA
Molecule: ribosomal RNA, 1086 nt
Filed under: Pterocomma pilosum
Lineage: Eukaryota; Metazoa; Arthropoda; Insecta; Hemiptera; Aphididae
Description: partial 16S large subunit ribosomal RNA
Source: RNAcentral